AUGGUUUCUGUGAAAAGGCAGACGUGGAGUGGAAGCCACCCCCCUGAUUUCAAGCACAAGAAUCUGGUUAAGCUCACCAUCUAUGGCUUCCAACCUGACGACAUCUUUGUGCGAUUCAUCAGGUGUGUCAUGGAACAUGCGGAUAAUAUGGCAGAGAUAUCUCUGCAUGACAGGAAGAAGGUAUGUCUGCGCUGUGGUGUCUUGGAUCCUGAGAUGAAGUACCCAUCGAGGUAUCCACGGAAUGCUGAUGAACGCACACAUAUCACUGAAGAAUUGGGGAGGUCUUUGCCUGCUAUGGUUCGCUUCUGGACGUAA
Molecule: ribosomal RNA, 315 nt
Filed under: Triticum aestivum (bread wheat)
Lineage: Eukaryota; Viridiplantae; Streptophyta; Magnoliopsida; Poales; Poaceae
Description: partial small subunit ribosomal RNA
Source: RNAcentral